Onychostruthus taczanowskii (white-rumped snowfinch) is the source of this 8992-nucleotide RNA transcript. It is a transcript of the gene named CD47 molecule, with no coding region annotated. The record is from RefSeq and is a predicted model, not a curated record. The transcript is spliced from 13 exons. NCBI's taxonomy places the organism in Eukaryota, Metazoa, Chordata, Aves, Passeriformes, Passeridae.
UCAGAAGGAAGUGACUCUGGACUUCUACAAAAAAGUUGUUUCAGGCAAAGAAGGGGCUUGCUUUCAGUGGCCAGCCUGACUUGCAGACAGUACAGCCUCUGCCUUGGAGAGAGCUGAAAAUGGAACUGAGAUUCUACAGGUAUCCGCCACACUACCAGCAUGCAGAGGGAAGAAAGGCAGAGUUAAGGACAUGGUAGAAGUGACCAUUCCCAUGGAUUACAGACUUGGAAGACAAAAGCUGGGGAACACAAAGAAACAGUUGGACGUGCCCAUGCAGAAAAACAACCCCAAAAAGGAAAUGCCUGGCUCUUCAAAGGAAGACCUUUUGUUUCCAUCCAGGAUGAUAAAUGGGUUUUAGCUUGAUUUUCUCAGAGGGAAGCUUAUGUGAUUGUACUGUCUGUCAUCUGUCUACACCGAUAAGUUUUUAACCGCCAGAGUCAAUUAUAAUUAUUUCCAAAGGAAAAAAACUGCCAGAGGCAGACAUCUCCAUGAUAAUUAUAUUUCUGCGGAUUUUGUGAAAGACAGCAGCAGACUGGGUUGGGGCUAAGGAGGAGGAGGAGGGAGAGGAGAAAGCACAAGACCACACUGAGAGUGUGCCAUGUCAAGGAAGUCUGGGAGGCCUCAGCUGACCUUCAGCCCAUCCUGGCUGAAGGCAGCCAGCCAGCCUGUCUGCAGCACUGGAGAGUCAGUGGGCAUGGGUGUCUCUGCAGACACCUCACAAAACAAACUGUUCUUGUCCACGGGUGCGAUUUCACAGGGGACAUCACUGUGGCUGUGGCUGCUGCGGUGCAGAGCAGGAGCAGGCACAGCCUUUCUUUCUGCUGGCUGUGAUGCAGGGAUCUCGUUUUGUUGAUGCAGGCAGUGGCACUGUGUUGCCCUGGGCCUGUACUUGCAGGCUGCAGAACCUGGGUGGUGGCUGGGCUGGGCUGGGCUGGGCUGGGCUGUAGGUGCCCCCAGGCAGGACAGACAGGCAAAGUGCAAGGCAUGGUCAGCAUAUGCUCCAUGCUGCGACUAAUUGAACAUAAUGGGUGCACUGCUAACAAAGACUCGUAGUGUGGAGGACAGUGUGUUCUCUAUGCUCAGAGACCUGCCAGCCACUAAUGAAAGCUGCUAAGGCCAGCUUUGUAAAUGCAUUUAGGUGACUGAGCCAGGUAUUUGAGGACAGGUAGAACCUAAUUCUCUUUGACAUCAAAAGGGACUCUGACUUGCACUGCAUGGGAAGUCAUGUCUUUAAACAGCUUCAAAGCUAUGAACAUUUCUCCUUAAAUAUUUUAGAAGAAUUGACCCUCUCUCUGAGUGAAUCUGGUGUGAAAUGAGAGGUUUCUAGAACCCUUGAGAACCAAGUAACUCAGCUGAACCUUUCCCUGGAAUGAUACAUACUGCUUCACCAUUACAGGAUGUUCUUGGAAGGAGCAAAAUGCCUAAGAUGAAAGCAGAUCACCAUCUUCAAUGCCUACCAUGACAUGUAAUUCCUCUUGGCUUGUCAAUAACCUGAUCCAGUUCUCCAGGUCUUAUGUAAGUGGAGGGCAGCUGCAGGUAACCCCCAGGUUGUCUACCUGGCUGUCUCAGCUGCAGCCUCCAGUGGGAGUUCAGUGACCUGGAACACAAAUCUGCUUUCAAAAGCCCUCAUGGCAGGAGAGUUUCACAGGCUGGAGUUUCACCCCCCUUAUCUUGCUCUUAGCUCAACCUUUCCCAGAGUGCUUUCUGUUGAGCAAGAGUGAACAAGAUAUCUUGUCUCCCACAUCCCCCCACAAAGUCACUAAUGUCACUAAGUUGCCUGAUGAAUCUCAGCAGCUACAGCAGCAGCUGAAGAAAGGAAAUUGCAAAAAAUGCAUUCAAAUACAGAACAAGAGUAGGAAGAGAGUAAGCGAAGAAGGGGAGGGUUGGGAGCAUGAAAGAAGCACUGUUUCCUUAAAACAGUUUGUUUUUAAAUGGAGGACAAAUGAUGGCAUUUUAGCCCUACCAAACAUCUGUGAAAGUUAACAUUUCUUCACAGCACUGCUUUAUUUUUGCCUAAGUCUUCAGCAAGUAUUACUCAAAGUUAAUUCAGGGUUUGGCCCUUGGGAAUUUAUUUAAUGUGCUAGUGCUUAGAAGUCCAUUAAUAUUUAUAAAUGUCACUUGAAUUCCAUUUUUACCUUCUUAUCCAGGCAGGAGCACUUGUAAAAAAAUUUUUUUUCCUGUGUUUUUGUUGGGUUUGGUUUUGUUUUGUUUUGUUUUUUUUUUUCAAAACCAUAGUAAGCUAGGGGUUGAGCCUGUUCUAAAAAUGUCAUAUUCUAUACAGCUGUGAUAUACAGUUUUGCUGGCCUGCCUAUGCCCCGAAGAAGGGCCUGAGAGUUAGAUGUUAGGCCUGAAAAAAUGGAGAUGGUGUCUAUUCUCAGCUCUGCCACUGGCUAAUUAUGCAACCUUAGUCAGUUCAUUUAACCUCGGCACGCUUAGGUUUCCAGAUCAGAAGCGAAAGGGAUAAAAGGCUGCUCUGUGAAUCUUUUGUGGAGCCUGAGGGAGAACAAGGUAUUACCCAUCACGUUGCUGCCUUGUGAGCUCUGGGUGUGGGUGGUUUCUGUGUUAGGGUAGAGUACCUGUGGUGAGUGAGUCCAGGAACACAGAUGGAGGCCUGGCCACUGCAUUUCUUGCCAAGGGAGACAGCCCUCACAGUCGGUUUGACAAAUCACAGCUACUGACACCCUUUGCUUUAGGCACUCAGGCUUUUAUGUCACUCUUCAGCAGUUUCCUGCCAGCCACCGCAGCCACUGCCUCCUGUACAUUGGCUUUUGUAUGUGACUCGUGCCUGUCACAGCUUGCUGACCCCAGAGAGUGAUCAAUGGUAUUCCAAAGAGCUGUAAAACAGUAUAAAAUGGCAGAUCCGUGCCUAGUAGUGGUAAUAAAAUAAGUUGUCUAAUUUAAAGACCAGAAGUGUGCCUUGAAAGUCAUAAAUGAGAGACUCAGACAGUUUUUAAAAUAUAUGACCUCUCACUUUUGGAGCACUUGGACUUUAACACAGCGUUGCAAAAGCAACUGUGCUUUUCACAGCUGCUGAGAUGUGUCUCUGUGAGCUUCUACACCAUGUGCUUCUGGGCAAAACAAGAGUGAUGUUAGAAAGUGGUUAAAAGCAUGCAGCUCUUGUAUUACAGCAGGGGUUGCUUUGUGUUCCUGGUUCAGAACAGAAAGCAGAGCUGCCCAACCUUUGUUUCAGUGGGUAUCUGAACUGCCUUGCUCUGCACAGUCCCGCUGCCCAAAACUAUCAGCAAGCAGAGGCAUUGCAGACAUUUCGCAGCAGCAGAAGGCAGAGCAUUACAAGACAAAGUAUUUCAGGUGCACACCUAGCUGGAUGGCACAGCAACCUCCAACACAAUCAGGGAAACUGCAUGCAAAGAGUUAUCUUUGAGGGAUUUGUGAGACUCAGCUCAGUAGUACAGGAGGCAGCAGCACCUGAGAGCGCAGCGCUCUCCCACGCGAGGCUCUGGCUCUCCGAAAUUUCCCAUGCGCGCUGUUUUGCUUCUAGGCCAGUGUGGGUGUGAUAUGUGUUACCUUAGCAACAGGGACAAGUGCGUGCUGCAGCUGUAGCCCUCUCUUUGCAGCAGGAGAGCAUCCCUGGUUUUCUUACAGAAAACGCUGCGCAGCUCCCCGCAAAGGGGACACCAGUGCCUGUGGCUAUCAGCGUGCUGGCACGCAGGGCACGGAUACAGAUAUGAGCUACGGCUGACGCAGACAUGUCUUCCCUGCUAUCCCCUGCUCCAGCUUGUCUCUUCUGGCCUCCAGAGAACAUCAACUGAGUCAGUCUGGCAGGAGCAGGAUCAGCAGCUUUGUGUCAGCCCCCUCCAUCAUUUCUCGAUUCAGAUGGCUCCCACAGCUCAAGGCUUUUUACUAAACUUGAAUGCCAGAGGAUGUCUGAGUGCUUUAUGAAUAUCUGGAGGAAACAAACGUGGCAGCCAAGGCAUCGGUACCCAUUAAUCACUUAGGGAGUGAUUAAUUUGCUGGGGGAGAAUUUAAGAGACUAGAGACUCAAGAAGCAGGGGAUGUUUGUGGGGUAGACCCACCCAAUAUAAAGCCAAUAUAAAUGCUGCAAAACCCCAUAAAUGGAGCAAAUCUGCGCGAGCCAUAAAACCUAUGGAAAUUGAGUUUCUCACAGAAUUUUGAUUCUGCCCUGGCUUUCAUCCUCUGUUGAACUCUGGGACUUGUAACAACAUUGUAAAUAUAAACAUAUCUAGAAACAUACAUAAAGCUGUGUUCCCCCAAUAUAUUUAACAGUCCUUUUUUUUAAUGCCUCACCAACACAUAUGUUUGAGAACAAAAUAUGCAUAGAUUCAAAAUGUUAAGGUAACUCUACAUUAAAAAUUCUAAGAGGAGCUGCUCCUGGAAAAAAACCCCAAAAACACGUUGAAACAUUUGCUGAAAUAGUCAAAUGUAUCUAUUACUGCAAACAUAGGAAAAAGGAGCAUUUAUCCUCGCUUUUAAAUUAAGUGCAACAACUGAUCACUUACAAGUUCUUCAGUGUUUUUGAACACUUUGUGUUUCACCUGCACUUAGUGCAUAUAACUGCAGCCAGGAGCAAACGUACCCCUGGGAAAGCUGGUCUUCCACAGGCUUUUAGCGACCCGGAGGAUGCCCUCAGCCCCGGGUUAGCUGACUAAGGGGAAGGCACGGGGGAAGCGAAAGCGCUCCCUCCGCCCGCUCCCGCCCCCGCCGGGCCGCGGCCCUGCCCACUCCAACGGGGUUUUUGCCCUUCAAAAAAUAAAGAUGUUUCGUAAUCAACAAGGCGGUGGAGGAGUCGCCCCGUCAACGCUUCCCCUUUUAUUGGAUCCGGCAUCUUCCCCCGGCAGCCAUUUUACGCGGCCCCGAACGCCACGCUGUGCGUGCGGGGAGACGCGAUCCACAACACCGCGGCCCCGGAGCUCAGGCGGGCGUGGGAUAUACGUCCCGCUAAUCACUUUCAGAAGACACGAAACAUCACCCAAAACAAGCCUUAUCGCAGCUCAACUCCCGCGGGUUGCUGCGGACUACCGGCGUGGGGGGGAGCGGGGCGGGCCGUGAAGGCGGGCCGUGAAGGCGGGCCAGCCCCGCGCGCCCGCCCCCGCGCGCCGCCCGCCCGCCCGCUGCGGCGCCGCUCGAGCCGUCGCUGCGCCGGGCCGCGCCACCGCCGCCGCUCCGCCAUGUGGCUGCUGGCCGCCUCCGUGCUGCUCGGCGCCCUGCGCGCAGGUUCUGCCCAGUUGUCACUUUCUGGGACAAGUAUUGUAGAAAAAAAUGACUGUAAUGAAACUGUAGUUUUACCUUGUUACGUGACUAAUCUAAAGCAGAACAAUGAAAAUGCCAUGUUUGUUACCUGGAAAAAGCAAGGAGUUACAAUUUUUUCUUACCAUGGAGGAAACAAGAAGUUUAAUAUUGAUCCCUCAUUUUCGUCUGCAAGAUUUUUAUCCCAACCGGAUUUAAUCACGGGUGUGGCCUCACUGGUGCUGGACAGUGCACAAGCAACUGUUGGAAAUUACAGCUGUAAAGUAACAGAAUCAAACAGAGAAGGAGAAAUAAAAAUGGAACUUAAAAACAGCUCAGUUGUCAGUUGCGGCGACGAAACACCAGAGGAAAAAUGUGGAUCAUGGUUCCUUCUAGUGGAAAGGGCUGUCAUCAUAUCAUUGGUGUGCUUACUUGUUAUUUUAUGUGCAGCUCAGUUAAGUGUUAUUGGAUUAAAAUAUGAAAUUGAAUCUCAGAGGAAAGUGUGCAUUAUUGUAGCACUUGUCAUCUUUGCAGUUGUAGCUGGUGUAGGUGCUGCUCUUUUUAUGCAAGAUGGAUAUACUGUACAGAAUCAGGCUGGUCUUGGCCUAAUUGUAAUCCCUGCUGUGAUUUUGGUACCGCUUCAGUACAUCAUGUUUGGAAUUGUUUUUGACAGUCUACUGCAGGCAACGUUGGCUCUGAUAGGUUUGAAACUUCUUGGAUUUAUAAUUGGUCUGGUUGGUUUUGCACUGUGUGUUCCAGCCUGUCCUCCAUUACAUGGGUCUGUUCUGAUUGCUGGCUUAGCUAUUAUGGCUAUUGCAAGUUUGCUUAGUCUGGCUUACGUGUUUAUUAUGGGUUCCAGAAUGAAAGAUCAUCCUCGUCCGGGGCAUUUCUGUAGGUUGCAUGUGUUGUUUCUGAUGAUUGUCUACCAGACUAAAUGCACAACUGUCAUGUAUUUCUUUCUGAGGAGAUUCCACUUGAUUUGCUUGGCUACUAAUUUUCUUUUCUUUUUUAGUCCUGCUGCUUUGUUACUAACCAUUGAUCAAAUGACAGAAAUUGUCAGUUAGGUUUUAGAGCUUAAAAGUAGUAUCUGCAUGGCUUCCGCUGCCACCUAGGGGUAUUUCAUCUGGGUAAACGUCACAGUAAGGGAAAACUACUUGGAAAAUGCAGCUAUUGACUGAUACAAUUUUUUUUUCAGACCUUUAGUCAUUAAUUUGAUUAACAUUAAGCUUUCUUCAUUUUUGUAGAAUCACUACUUACUGUAUAUGUCAAUUAGAGUAAUUUAACUGUGGCCAGCCAGAAGUAAACAUGAAGGCUUUUUAUACAUAUAUAUAUUUUUAAAUGUUUUGCAGAAAGCUGUAGAAGAACCACUAAAUGAUGCAAAAGGAGUGAUGUUAGAAUGAUGAACUGCAGAGUUAUGUGAUGCGUAUAUAAAAAGUACACCGUUGUUGAUACGCCGUGGCCUUGAAGAUGCACUACUCAUCGAGAAGAAAUUCAGGACUCUAGUUGUUCUGCAUGUGUGGCAAAAGUGCUUUUGAUAUAAAUGACAUUAUUUUAUAGUCACAGCAGCUGUAGCAAGGAACAUGUGUGCUUGCCCACAUGUGAUCUUUAUUUUGUUUUGUUAUGGUGUAUAUGGGAUGGUUGAGGGUGAGAAUAUAAAAAGCAUUAUUUGCCCAGUACAGAGUCUCCCUGCAGUAAUCCUUAGUGGUAUUAUUUUUAAAAACUAUCAUUAGUCACUGCUUUGAUAAUGGGCCUGCUGAGCCCGGAGAUUGCAAUACCAUUUAGACUAUUGUUUUCUUUAUUUGUGUGCAUGGACAAAGUAUGGUUUAUGUGUAUGAUACAAGCAGGAAGUAGAGAUUGUACAAAUACAUCUUUUCUGACAUUCAGCAAAUUUUUAUUAAAGAAAUACAAAGUUACACACAAAGUUGCAUAAGUACAAAGUUUACUCCCAGCUCUCCUGAAAUUAUUAACUAAGUUCUAAUUCCACAAGAUGUUGGUAUGCCUCUCUGUGGACAGUAGUCAUGUGUGCUCUGGUGGCUGAUAUUUUUGUCCAGUGAGAGGGCUCUCCGUGCCUCCUCUGUAUCCUUUGAUGAGAAACUGCUCAGCUGUUGGAGCCUAAUUCAGCACUGGAAUUACAGAGCACAGGAGCUGGUAAUCUUAAUGCUGAAUGUGGUUCUUGUAUGUGUUCAUGUUGUGCAGUGUGUGGAAUUGGAAGCAAUUUCAGGCUUUCUUAACUCAGUGAAUUUGUGAAAGUUGUGGAUCCUUCAUAAAAAUAGGAGUUUCCUAUUUAGUAUAUUUUUGACAGUUUAAAACCUUGUUUUCUUGAAUGGAAAAGAGCGAUAUAAUUUCUGGCCCAGGUUUGUGUUGCUACCAUUACAUCAUAAAUACAUAAAAUAAAAAGUAGGAGGAGCUGAUGAGGAGUGAGGAAGCUCAGUUUCUGUAUAUAUCUAAUGAUGAUGUGGUUAAAAAUCAGUUUACUAGGACUUGCACAUUCCAUGAGAUUCUAUGUUUUACAGCUAUGUUCUACAGCUAUUUUGAGAGUUGUUCCAAUAUAGUUAGCUGCUCUUGGACUUUGUGUAUGCUUUGUAGAAAUCUUGACACUGUUUCCUGUUUGUACUAAGGUACUGUAUUUCAAAGGCACACACGGUUUUCUCCUUCUAACAAUUUAAAAGUUGGGCAGCUUUGGAAAGCUGUUACCAAAGUCACAUAAUAAAAUCCAUGUUUUUAAAGUUCCCGAGUAAUUUGGCAGUUCUCAGAAUUGAAUGUUCCAAAUCAAAGUUCAUAUCCAUGUUGUGGGUGCAUGUCACAGGGAUUUGAGUCUCUGCACGUUGAACUCCCGAGUCACAUUAAGAAUUCAACAAAGCAAAACUGAGGUGUCUGAUUCUACAGUAGGUGCUGUCAGAAUCGUCCCUCUUGCCAAGGCUGCAGGACUGAGCCAUUUUAGGCAAGCUAUGGGCCAGCUCUCACUGGGAUCAGUGGAACUGGGCACAGGGAAGAGGGUCACACAUGCGAUAAAAUAUGGGAGAAUCAUAUAUGGCUCACAUUUACUGUCCUCCCUUGCCAGUGGGAUUAUUCGUGUAAGGUUUGAGCUCUUACAGAUGAAUAUUUUGGUGCAGGUUUUUCCAUAAUCUCAGUGAUACCUAACUAAAGAUGGGAGAUGGUUCUCCAUUACAAUUCACUAUAAAAAUUUUUCUAAUUUAGUAUUGUGCAGUGUUCCCUGUUUAUAACUAGUGAUUCCCUCUGGCAAGUUGCAAGUCUUAGCAGCAGAGGAAUAAAAAACCAAAUCAACUGGAAUUCUUUAGAGGUAUUCUGCCUUAUAAAAACAAUUAUUUAUAAUAGCUUUAUGUUAAUUUCUGUAAAGCAAACUGCAGUAGAACCCCGCUGUGUCACUGUGGGAUCAGGCUGAGCUGUUCCUAGGAAUUGUCAAAACCUGAGGAGCUCAGUGGCUGGCUAUGGGCUGCAGAAUUGUGGUCCCAGAAAUGGGAGAAACCCACCAUCCUGUUGCAUUAAGGGCUGGAUUUCUUGUAGGUGGGAAUUGAAAAGUGAGUGUUCAAAAAGUCAUUGGUACACCCAGCCAGCCCUUUCCCACCAGUAAUUUAAACCAAAGUUGUUCAUAACUUAUGUUUUCAUUUGUGUGUGUACAUAUGUGUGUAUAUAUAAAUAUAUAGACAUUUUAAAUAUCUAUAGAUCUAUAGUCUUUACCCAAGAAACUGUUUUUAUUUAUGAAACAUGAAACGAUUUUGUAAAUAUUGUGCUAAUAUACUUAAAAAUAAAGUCAUUUUAAGUUGUU